RNAcentral lists this ribosomal RNA (380 nucleotides) under uncultured archaeon. Its description in RNAcentral is "bacterial SSU rRNA". It matches the Rfam family "Archaeal small subunit ribosomal RNA", at positions 471 to 851 of the family's 1478-position model. The record is from RNAcentral.
UAAAACCAGCUCUCCGAGUGGUAGGGACGAUUAUUGGGCCUAAAGCGUUCGUAGCCGGUCCGGUAAGUUUCUCGUUAAAUCCAGCGACCUAAUCGUUGGACUGCGGGAUAUACUGUUGGACUAGGGGGCGGGAGAAGCCGACGGUACCCCCGGGGUAGGGGUGAAAUCCUGUAAUCCCGGGAGGACCACCAGUGGCGAAGGCGGUCGGCUAGAACGCGCCCGACGGUGAUGGACGAAAGCUGGGGGAGCGAACCGGAUUAGAUACCCGGGUAGUCCCAGCUGUAAACGAUGCGGGCUAGGUGUUGAGGGGGCUACGAGCCUCCUCAGUGCCGCAGCGAAGGCAUUAAGCCCGCCGCCUGGGGAGUACGGCCGCAAGGCUG